This 1351-nucleotide long non-coding RNA is filed under the name Papio anubis (olive baboon). Its description in RNAcentral is "lncRNA (ENSPANG00000037528.1)". Lineage: Eukaryota; Metazoa; Chordata; Mammalia; Primates; Cercopithecidae. The record is from RNAcentral.
AUGCCGUUAUUAAGAGGUCCACGGGUCCUCUUUUCCUCGCCCCUUAGUUACCUGCAGGCUGGGCUCCUUUCCACCUCUUCUCACUGGCCUCCUGUUUGUACCCCUGACCUCUCCGGGAUCUGUCUGUGGGGAAUCACCACACUGUCUUCUACAAUGAGAACCCUGAUUUUCUAUAUCUGGACAAAAGACUAGGACAUAAGAAAGAGAAGUUUAGUGGAAGGAACUAACUGAGGGAGAGACAUUGCACAGCAGACAAGGACAAAUAACAGGAGGGUGGAAACAAGGGUAAGUGAACUUGCCAAAGAAAUAGGCUCAAUAGGAAAGAAUUGUUAUGUGGGUAUGCUUAUGACUUUUAAGCAUUUGACUUGCAAUAAGUGUGGUUACUGUUUCUAAUGGAAAAUGGCAGACACUAAAAACACUGAAGAUCAGCUAUGAAGGUGAGCAGUGAUAUUAAAACAACACAGGGUUUGGUGUCAGAUAAAGAAAGUGACAUUUAUAAUGAUUUUUAUCUGCAAAAUGGCUCUAACAAUAGUGCCCAGCUCAAUGGAUUGUUAAAAGGCUUAAAUGAGAUAUGAUAAGGUGCCCAGCAUAAUGCUUGACAAAUAGGAUGCAGAAAAACCUAAUCUUUACUUGGGGGUAUUCAGAAAUUCUCUACAUUUAGAUGUCUUCCCAGAUCUCAUAUGACCUUGAAAUAAAACUCCAUCUUCCUGGAUAUAGAAAGUAAGGCUAGAUGUAAGGCUUUGGGGUUAAAAUAGGCUUGAACUUGAAUCACUUUUACACCUCUAGCUGCUUGAUACACCUCAGGCAAUACCUCGAUCUAACUCACAGGAUCAAAUGAGGUAAUACACACAUUAAAAGACUUAACACAUGGUUUUCACUUAGAGAAUCUUUGUUCCUUUCUCCUUGACUCUUUGUAUUUUUGAAGUGUCUUAAAUAGCUUUAAUAGGAUUUUUUAAAAGUUAGAAUUACUUUUGCUCAUGAUAAAGAUCUGACAUAUUUUUAAGUGGAAGAUUACUUCAAGUAUUUUUAAUUAGCUUUUUUUAAAAACCACAGAUUUUGAAUUUAUAACAACCUUUAUCUCUGUUUUCAAAUAUAUUCCAUCUUUUCACCUCAGAUUUGUUUGACAGCCUAAUAUUUGUGUGUAUGUGUGUAUACAUACAUGCACACAAAUACAUAAAUUCAAGGGCAAAGAAAGUACUUUUGUUAGCUUAUUGAGGUAUAAUUUAUAUAUAAAAUCCAUCAAUUUUCAGUACCUAUACAAUUCAAUAAAUUUUGACAAUUGUAUAAAGUCAUACAACCACGGGCACUAUGGUGUUAUAAAAUAUUUUCAGCACUCCAAUAUGCCUCCUGG